GGAAAUUUCAGAAGGUCUACUUCUGAAGCAGGAGGUCGAUGGUUCGAGUCCAUUAGUCUCCA
RNAcentral lists this transfer RNA (62 nucleotides) under Caudoviricetes sp. RNAcentral's name for it is "tRNA-Ser". Lineage: Duplodnaviria; Heunggongvirae; Uroviricota; Caudoviricetes. The record is from RNAcentral.